GACGAACGCUGGCGGCGUGCUUAACACAUGCAAGUCGAACGGUGAAGCGCCUUCCUUUUUGGUGGGUGUGGAUGAGUGGCGAACGGGUGAGUAACACGUGAGUAACCUGCCCCCUUCUUCUGGAUAACCGCAUGAAAGUGUGGCUAAUACGGGAUAUUCUGGGUCUGUCGCAUGAUGGGUCUGGGAAAGAUAUUGUUUCGGUGGGGGAUGGGCUCGCGGCCUAUCAGCUUGUUGGUGGGGUGAUGGCCUACCAAGGCGGUGACGGGUAGCCGGCCUGAGAGGGUGGACGGUCACACUGGGACUGAGACACGGCCCAGACUCCUACGGGAGGCAGCAGUGGGGAAUAUGGCACAAUGGGCGCAAGCCUGAUGCAGCGACGCCGCGUGAGGGAUGGAGGCCUUCGGGUUGUGAACCCCUUUCGCCAGUGAAGCAGGCCUGCCUCGUUUGUGGGUGGGUUGACGGUAGCUGGAUAAGAAGCGCCGGCUAACUAC
This 491-nucleotide ribosomal RNA is filed under the name uncultured bacterium. RNAcentral's name for it is "partial 16S ribosomal RNA". It matches the Rfam family "Bacterial small subunit ribosomal RNA", at positions 28 to 504 of the family's 1533-position model. The record is from RNAcentral.